This 301-nucleotide ribosomal RNA is filed under the name uncultured bacterium. RNAcentral describes it as "partial 16S ribosomal RNA". It matches the Rfam family "Bacterial small subunit ribosomal RNA", at positions 509 to 807 of the family's 1533-position model. The record is from RNAcentral.
CAGUAGCCGCGGUAAUGCGAAGGGUGCAAGCGUUAAUCGGAAUUACUGGGCGUAAAGCGUGCGUAGGCGGUUUGUUAAGUCUGUUGUGAAAUCCCCGGGCUCAACCUGGGAAUGGCAAUGGAUACUGGCAAGCUAGAGUGUGUCAGAGGAUGGUGGAAUUCCCGGUGUAGCGGUGAAAUGCGUAGAGAUCGGGAGGAACAUCAGUGGCGAAGGCGGCCAUCUGGGACAACACUGACGCUGAGGCACGAAAGCGUGGGGAGCAAACAGGAUUAGAUACCCGCGUAGUCCCUGUCUCUUAUAC